UCAGGAUGAACGCUAGCUACGGGCCUAACACAUGCAAGUCGAGGGGUAGCGUGAGGGAAGCUUGCUCCCUGACGACGACCGGCGAAUGGGUGAGUCACGCGUGUCCAACCUGCCCCGUGCCCGGGGAUAGCCCUUGGAAAUGAGGAUUAAGACCCGAUAUGUGGCGCUUCCGCAUGGCGGCGCCAUGAAGCAGGCACGGGAUGGGGACGCGUCGGAUUAGCUUGACGGCGGGGCAACGGCCCACCGUGGCGACGAUCCGCAGGGGUUCUGAGAGGAAGGUCCCCCACACUGGCACUGAGACACGGGCCAGACUCCUACGGGAGGCAGCAGUGAGGAAUAUUGGUCAAUGGGCGGGAGCCUGAACCAGCCCAAGUAGCGUGCAGGACGACGGCCCUACGGGUUGUAAACUGCCUUUCCGGGAGGAUAAAGUGAGCCACGCGUGGUUCAUUGCAGGUAUCCCGGGAAUAAGGACCGGCUAAUUCCGUGCCAGCCGCGGC
RNAcentral lists this ribosomal RNA (497 nucleotides) under uncultured bacterium. RNAcentral's name for it is "bacterial SSU rRNA". It matches the Rfam family "Bacterial small subunit ribosomal RNA", at positions 24 to 518 of the family's 1533-position model. The record is from RNAcentral.